UGUCCCAGGUAGGGGUCAGGAUUUGAGC
Molecule: non-coding RNA, 28 nt
Filed under: Homo sapiens (human)
Lineage: Eukaryota; Metazoa; Chordata; Mammalia; Primates; Hominidae
Source: RNAcentral